Molecule: long non-coding RNA, 688 nt
Organism: Rhododendron vialii
Lineage: Eukaryota; Viridiplantae; Streptophyta; Magnoliopsida; Ericales; Ericaceae
Exons: 2
Source: RefSeq, a predicted model, not a curated record
UAGAGAUCCGUAUUUUUGAGGCCAUAUGUUUUUUUCCUUUUCCUUUUGUUAACGUACGGCCCGUCGAGAUAGACGGUACGGAUAUUCGGUGUGACGUCUUUGUGGGAGGAUAUAAGGGUAAUUGUGUGAGGGGUGCACGUGUGAGUGUGUGGUGCGAGAAGCGGGGGAUUGCUCCCCACUUCUAUAAUUCUCCCCAGGAGAAUUAUUUCUCCAUUCUUUUUUUUCUCUCUCACUCCCUCGGCAGUCUCUCUCUCCUCUCCUCCGAAAACUCUCUCCUCUCUUCUCUCUUCUCUCUUUGAUCUCAACACCUUAGAGCGUGAUUCCGGAUGAAGUCCAAGAAUUAAAGUUGUUGUACGGAGCACGGGCUUUCCGAAUAUCCAAGAAAAAUCUUGAUCGGACCGCGUGGGAGCUCGGUUGACUUGGUCAAAGGGUCGGGUUUUGCUCAAAACCCAUGAGGUACACUAUAAGGAUAUAGUCUGGGAGGGUGUAAAGUGCAUGCAGACAUCAAGCUAAAGAUAUUUUCUGAAGUAUUUGUCUUUCUUCAUAAAUCAACUGCACUAUACUAUUUUCUCUAUUUUGGAAUACUGUAUCAAUUGACAGAUUUGUGAGAUUCAAAAACAACUGUAUUGUAAUUUGGGGUAUCGUAUGUACUAUUGUGAGGAUUUGUAUUUAAAAUGGUAUUGUUAUU